This 243-nucleotide ribosomal RNA is filed under the name uncultured bacterium. RNAcentral describes it as "partial 16S ribosomal RNA". It matches the Rfam family "Bacterial small subunit ribosomal RNA", at positions 95 to 334 of the family's 1533-position model. The record is from RNAcentral.
UUGGCGAACGGGUGAGUAAUACGUGAGUGACCUACCUUUGACUCUGGGAUAAGCCUGGGAAACUGGGUCUAAUACCGGAUACGACCAAUCUCCGCAUGGGGUGUUGGUGGAAAGCGUUAUGGAGUGGUUUUAGAUGGGCUCACGGCCUAUCAGCUUGUUGGUGAGGUAAUGGCUUACCAAGGCGACGACGGGUAGCCGGCCUGAGAGGGUGACCGGCCACACUGGGACUGAGACACGGCCCAG